Non-coding RNA from Tetranychus urticae (two-spotted spider mite), 2605 nucleotides. Lineage: Eukaryota; Metazoa; Arthropoda; Arachnida; Trombidiformes; Tetranychidae. The record is from RefSeq and is a predicted model, not a curated record.
GGUUGUAAAGGUUUUGAUCAAAAAGCAAAUUUGAUCAACACAGUUGUGUAUCGGUUUUAAUUAAAUGCAAUCAAUCAAACAACUUUAAAUCUAUUGUCUUUGCUUCCAUCUCACCUUUAAUUAAGUUAAUCAUCAUUAUGGACAAUUAUUUUAUCCAAGAAAUGUCUUCAACACGCAAUUUAAACUCAUUUAACCUUGUAAUCAAUAAUAACUGUUUGUUAAUGAUAAACAUUGAUGUUACCUUUAAUGGAUCAUCUAUUUUUUUUUGUUUCUUGACUCUCUUUUGUUUUUACCUCGAUAUUCAAAUAUUUAUCCACAGUUAUUUCUGCUUCAAUGUACCAAUGAGAUUAAAUUAUUAUAAUAGACUAAUAUUAAUAAUUGUUACUAAUAAUGAUGUUAAUUGGUUAGUUUAAUAGUUUGGUUAAAAAUGGUUUUAGGGUGAAUUAAAUAUGGCGCGCCUUAUAAUGGCUCGGAAACAGGCGAUGUUGCAAUGUUACCAAACGAUGGGUUAAAGGCAAACAGACAGUCAGUUUGAUGUGUUAACUUGUUGAUAUGGUUAAACUAACAAUUAAUUCAUUAAUUCAAACCUAUUACCGUGACAAUUAAGUGAACCUUUGAGGCUGUUAAGAUGACCGUUAAGGAAUUAAUCAAACCGUUAAGGAGAUGUCAUUUGGUAAGCAAUUAAUUACAAUGGAAAUGAAUUUCAAGUCCAGGAAAAAAACAAAUAGUAAACAUGUUUGGUUUUUAUGUCCUGUUAACACCAUAGGAUGAAGACAAUGAAGGACAAUGUGCUUUUAAUUGUUACAUCUUUUGGUAUGGAUCAAAUAAUGAAGCAAGGUCGCCCCCUUUCCAGCCUAAGAGACAAAUGGCUGAAAUGUAUGAAAAGCUAUGUGAACAAAGUUAAUGGAAACAUCUGAUCAUCUUACAUGCUUCUAGACGAACAGUUAACAGUUUCAUUUUACCAACACAUUUUCACUUGAUGUAGCUGCGAUGGUUGAAGUAUUGGUCGAUAAAGAAACAAAUUACGGAUAAAUUACGGUUCAAUGAUGUUCAAGCUUUUCAAUGCAAAAUUUUCCCUCAAAGGAAAGACCUCGAAUUUGAAACUAUCUGAUCAACACCAUUGAUAAACGGAAAGCGUAAAUUGUCUAGAUAUUUAUCAAUGUUUUAAAUGAGUCUACCUGCAAGAGCUGCAGACAAGCAAGUGAAAAACAAGCCUUGGAACGUGAAGGAGUAAACUAAAAGAUUUACACCCAAAAAAAGAGAUGAUCAGUUUAUUGGUUUAUUAAAUUGAAAAGAAACCAAAGGGUUUAUGGGAGAGUUAAUGGUUUACUUCAAGGACUUCAACUCUCAUGUGAUUCAACUGAUCGGAUGAGUUUCUUUACUGUUUGAUAAAUACUUUCAGGGCAAGCUUAUGGUUGGAGCAAGCAAGUUACCAUAAUUUGGAUUUCACGAUAAAACAAAAAUCCAUGGAAAAGUUUUCAAAAGGCUGAUACAAAAUAAUGAUUUUUAUCCUUGUCUGCCAUCGGAUUAAAGUCAAUAAUUACCUUGAUUUAACUGCUACAUUCAAAUUUACAAUCUCAUCGUCACUAUUAUCAUCAAACAUUAUCAUUAACAGCAAUCUUCUCUUUCAAAGUGCUUCUUUCUUGCUUCUUUUCACCUCCUCUUUUAAUCAUCACGAUCAUCCCUUUCCUCACUUUUUUUUCAUCCAAAAAUUCUGGCAGCCUUUUGCCCUUUUUUUCAAGGGGAAACACUUUUACAACAAACACUAUUUACUUCAUGAUAAUAGUAUUGGACUGAAGUAAAAGUGUGAGAAAAAGUCUCUUUUAAUAUCAGUUAUCAUCAAGUUUCCUAGCCUGACCCAAUGAUUUUCAACUUAUCAGUUGAAACGUUGAACACUUUGAACAAGAUAAGUCUGCUGUUAAUUAAGUUGUGUUAAUCGACAACUGGGUUUACCCUAGCAAAUUGUUUGACAAAAAUAGCAGCAAUCUUUUCAUUUGAAACGAUAGAACAGAAUAGAUGAACAUUUUUUUUCGGAUAACUCAAAGUUUUAACAUUGAAUUACAGUGAAUUACAAAUGAAUUAAGAAGUAAGAGUAUAUGUAAGAGAAGCUGUAAUUAAACUAAAACUUGAUAUAAGGCAGCAAGUAAUAUCAAAGUGCAAAAGUAAUAAAUAAUCAAAUUAAUUUCAAUCAACAUUUGACCAGAAUUCUGAGUGAUUUAUUUAUUUGUUUAAAUAAUUCACAUCUUAAGCCCCACCUAAGCUGUAAAUUGUAGUUAAUUAAAUCAAUCAAACAGCCCAUCAACAAAACAAAAGGUCAAUUGUCGAUACUUAAUUGAAUAUUACGUGCUUCAAGGUAAAUUGUGAUCUAAAGAAAGGCUGAUGAAUUUUAUCAAAAAGGACAAGAAAAGAUGAAAAGCCUGUUAAUGGAAGCGACUUUGAAGAAAAGGAAGAAAAAAUGAAAAUCAUAAAAGCAUCAUCAAGAUGAACACUGAUCUAAAGUAAUGUUACAGACGAUUCAAGUGCAAUUUACACUUCUCUAAUUGUAAUACAACUUGAAACUAAUCAACAUAUGAGCAUCAUAAAAAGGAUAAUCAACUUAAUUUGA